GAAAAACCUUACCCACCUUUGACAUGUACGGAAUCCUUUAAAGAUGAAGGAGUGCUCGAAAGAGAGCCGUAACACAGGUGCUGCAUGGCUGUCGUCAGCUCGUGUCGUGAGAUGUUGGGUUAAGUCCCGCAACGAGCGCAACCCUUGCCAUUAGUUGCUACGAAAGGGCACUCUAAUGGGACUGCCGGUGACAAACCGGAGGAAGGUGGGGAUGACGUCAAGUCCUCAUGGCCCUUAUAGGUGGGGCUACACACGUCAUACAAUGGCUGGUACAGAGGGUUGCCAACCCGCGAGGGGGAGCUAAUCUCAUAAAGCCAGUCGUAGUCCGGAUCGCAGUCUGCAACUCGACUGCGUGAAGUCGGAAUCGCUAGUAAUCGCGGAUCAGAAUGUCGCGGUGAAUACGUUCCCGGGUCUUGUACACACCGCCCGUCACACCAUGGGAGCGGGUUCUGCCAGAAGUAGUUAGCCUAACCGCAAGGAGGGCGAUUACCACGGCAGGGUUCGUGACUGGGGUGAAGUCGUAACAAGGUAGGCGUAGUGCU
Molecule: ribosomal RNA, 542 nt
Filed under: uncultured bacterium
Lineage: Bacteria
Description: bacterial SSU rRNA
Rfam family: Bacterial small subunit ribosomal RNA
Source: RNAcentral